RNAcentral lists this ribosomal RNA (429 nucleotides) under Chloroflexota bacterium. RNAcentral's name for it is "Chloroflexi bacterium partial 16S ribosomal RNA". It matches the Rfam family "Bacterial small subunit ribosomal RNA", at positions 355 to 776 of the family's 1533-position model. Lineage: Bacteria; Bacillati; Chloroflexota. The record is from RNAcentral.
UGGGGAAUAUUGCACAAUGGGCGCAAGCCUGAUGCAGCCAUGCCGCGUGUGUGAAGAAGGCCUUCGGGUUGUAAAGCACUUUCAGCGGGGAGGAAGGCGAUAAGGUUAAUAACCUUGUCGAUUGACGUUACCCGCAGAAGAAGCACCGGCUAACUCCGUGCCAGCAGCCGCGGUAAUACGGAGGGUGCAAGCGUUAAUCGGAAUUACUGGGCGUAAAGCGCACGCAGGCGGUCUGUCAAGUCGGAUGUGAAAUCCCCGGGCUCAACCUGGGAACUGCAUUCGAAACUGGCAGGCUAGAGUCUUGUAGAGGAGGGUAGAAUUCCAGGUGUAGCGGUGAAAUGCGUAGAGAUCUGGAGGAAUACCGGUGGCGAAGGCGGCCCCCUGGACAAAGACUGACGCUCAGGUGCGAAAGCGUGGGGAGCAAACAGG